Molecule: unclassified non-coding RNA, 333 nt
Filed under: soil metagenome
Description: partial contains 5.8S ribosomal RNA, internal transcribed spacer 2, and large subunit ribosomal RNA
Rfam family: 5.8S ribosomal RNA (bases 1-120)
Source: RNAcentral
GAUGAAGAACGUAGCAAAAUGCGAUAAGUAAUGUGAAUUGCAGAAUUCAGUGAAUCAUCGAAUCUUUGAACGCACAUUGCGCCCGCCAGUAUUCUGGCGGGCAUGCCUGUUCGAGCAUCAUUUCAACCCUCAAGCUCAGCUUGGUGUUGGGACUCGCGGUAACCCGCGUUCCCCAAAUCGAUUGGCGGUCACGUCGAGCUUCCAUAGCGUAGUAAUCAUACACCUCGUUACUGGUAAUCGUCGCGGCCACGCCGUAAAACCCCAACUUCUGAAUGUUGACCUCGGAUCAGGUAGGAAUACCCGCUGAACUUAAGCAUAUCAAUAAGCGGAGGA